Molecule: long non-coding RNA, 2201 nt
Organism: Cercocebus atys (sooty mangabey)
Lineage: Eukaryota; Metazoa; Chordata; Mammalia; Primates; Cercopithecidae
Exons: 6
Source: RefSeq, a predicted model, not a curated record
GUGCAGGCUGAGGUGCUGAACAUUUAGGAGUGAAGAUGGGAGCUGCUCCAAGAAGAGGCAGAGAACAGAGCUCGCCUGUAGGACGCUGAGUCAAGUGAUCGUGCACUUGUGUCAGACGUCACUGCUCAAAAUAGCUGCAUGAGAGGCUGCGGUGAGCCAAGGUCGUGCCACUGCACUCCAGCCUGGGCGACAGGGCAAGACUCCAUCUCAAACAAUAAAAAAAAUAAUAAACCAAAAUAGCUGUAUGACUCCUCCUCCUUUUUACUUGGGGGAGAGAGAGUUUGAGGUGGAGAGAGGAGAGAUGGGCAGGAAGAACGGGUUCUCACCACGUUUUCCCACUGGUGAGAGAACAGAAACGUUUGGAGUCUAUUAAUCUGCUGCUCACUUUCGAAAAUGCCAUCAGCCUCUUUCCGAGAUUGCUGGUGAGACAGCAGCCACUGCUCCCUGGCCUGAGAACAGGGGCAGCACCAAAACUGGUCUCAAUGUGCUGUGGAGGAGGGUGCUCCCCAGAGAGCAGCCCUGCGACAGAUGGAUGGAAGGACCCCCGAAUGGCUGAAUUGAGAAGAAUGAGCAUAUUAGGAGGCCAUAGCAUUGGGGAACCUCUCAGGCAGACAGACCAAGCCGUGGAAACUGCAGACUUAUUUGUAUGUUUUAGUAAACACCUUUGCUUCAUUUUCCCUGUCUCCGCCUGGACUGAGGGUCGCCUCACCUCUCCUGGUGUCCAGAGCCUCCUUCAGCACAGAUGUUUCAAACCUGAGUUCUCACAAACAACGGGGUCCAGCCCUUCUCAACACGGGAAAGCCCUUGAGCCAUCUUUGAUUUGUGUGUUUUGAUCUAAUUGCACUACUGCUUGUUAUGCUUGUUUUUAGCAGUGAGUGCUGGUUUAAUUUGUUCCUUUCUGGUCUCCCAGCCCCACUCCAGAAUUUUGGCUCCAGGAGAGGAGGGGCCCUGAACUGGCAUUUUCAGUGACGCAUCCCAGUGCCCUGAAUCCAGUAAGCAGCCAGGUGUCUGUUGGCUUCAUAGUUUAAUGACCUACAAUUUGAAGAAUCGCAGAGAUGAAUUAAAAAGUUAGAGCCCCUGAGAGGCUCCCCGAUCCAGUUGCACUUCCUGCUUAAGAAAAGUAAAGAAAAACAGGAAUGAAAACAUAACCCAAUGGGUUAGUUCCAUGCUGGCCAUUGACCAGGUUGCAGCCACCACCGGAAGAAGGCCAAACGGUUAGAAAGACGUGAUGGUGAGGAAGAUGAGCCUCAUUAUCGACUGUCACCCACAGCCCUGCACAGUGUGAGGCAAACCACAAGUCAUCAGCGUCACAGCAAAACAAAAACAGACACACAACAGAAGAAACCACGCUGGUGAGGUCAGCAGGGUGGAAGAUAGCGGAGACUAGGCAGGGAGGCUCAGCUGCACCUGACACACAACAGAGGUUCUCCAGGAACAGCAGAUGAAUGAGUACAAAAUCAAAGAGGUGGUUUCCCUCUUCCUCCAGCAGACAAACCCAGAAUUGCAAAGAUCCCUCGAUGAACUAAUGUAACCAUAUCAGGCAAACUGCAUCCCCUUGUCUGUCUUUCGUUCUCCCCCAGGCACACUUGCCAGCUUCCUCUUUCUGCGUCCUCCUGGGCAUAUCCAGCCUUCAUCAUGAAGCCGUGUCUAUUUUCCACUUGCACACUUUCCUGGAAGACUCUUGGACAGCGUAUCAAGAUCUCUCAUUUUCUGGCUUGAACUCACUGCAGACUCAUCUUGUGGCAAGGCUCACCACCCACCAUGCCGGGCCUUGUCAGUGCCCUGGGGCAGCGUGGAUGGGCUGCCCACGCUCUCAACUAACAGACGGCAGCAAAGGCCAUCACCUCCUUCUGAAGGAAUCAGAAGUUGGAACCAGGCCAGUGUAGGGUGGGACCAGAACUGAUGCCUGGACACAUGACCAUAGACUGUCCUUGCUGUUGGAGAGCUGGGGACCGCGCCAUAGGAGGCUGUGUGUGGUUAUCGCCUGUGAGCCCCCAAGACCUUCAUUUCCUCAUCUGCCUUUACUUUGUGUCUCCUCUGAACGUGAUCCUGUGUUCUGGGUUUUUUGUUUUUUUUUUUUUGAAAUGGCAGCAUUUCAAAUAUGCUGUUUUUUACCAUCAAUCAUUUCUUGCCAGCUGGGUGCAGUGAGUGACACCUGUCAUCCCAGCCCUUUGGGAGGGCGAGGCUGGUGGAUCACAAGG